GGUUGUGGCUCUGUGGUAGAGUGCUUGCUUAGCAUGCGUGAGGCCCUGGGUUCAAUCCCUGGCACCA
This 67-nucleotide transfer RNA is filed under the name Marmota monax (woodchuck). RNAcentral describes it as "tRNA.Ala". Lineage: Eukaryota; Metazoa; Chordata; Mammalia; Rodentia; Sciuridae. The record is from RNAcentral.